GACGAACGCUGGCGGCGUGCCUAAUACGUGCAAGUUGAGCGCUGAAGGUUGGUACUUGUACCAACUGGAUGAGCAGCGAACGGGUGAGUAACGCGUGGGGAAUCUGCCUUUGAGCGGGGGACAACAUUUGGAAACGAAUGCUAAUACCGCAUAAAAACUUUAAACACAAGUUUUAAGUUUGAAAGAUGCAAUUGCAUCACUCAAAGAUGAUCCCGCGUUGUAUUAGCUAGUUGGUGAGGUAAAGGCUCACCAAGGCGAUGAUACAUAGCCGACCUGAGAGGGUGAUCGGCCACAUUGGGACUGAGACACGGCCCAAACUCCUACGGGAGGCAGCAGUAGGGAAUCUUCGGCAAUGGACGAAAGUCUGACCGAGCAACGCCGCGUGAGUGAAGAAGGUUUUCGGAUCGUAAAACUCUGUUGGUAGAGAAGAACGUUGGUGAGAGUGGAAAGCUCAUCAAGUGACGGUAACUACCCAGAAAGGGACGGCUAACUGCGUG
This 497-nucleotide ribosomal RNA is filed under the name uncultured bacterium. RNAcentral's name for it is "partial 16S ribosomal RNA". It matches the Rfam family "Bacterial small subunit ribosomal RNA", at positions 28 to 507 of the family's 1533-position model. The record is from RNAcentral.